Ameiurus melas (black bullhead) is the source of this 71-nucleotide non-coding RNA. The record is from the annotation of a GenBank genome assembly. NCBI's taxonomy places the organism in Eukaryota, Metazoa, Chordata, Actinopteri, Siluriformes, Ictaluridae.
UCUUUUAACUGGUCUAGUGGUAUGACUUUCACUUUGGUUGCAAGAGGUCUUGGGUUCAAAUCCCGGACGAG